RNAcentral lists this ribosomal RNA (465 nucleotides) under uncultured bacterium. RNAcentral's name for it is "bacterial SSU rRNA". It matches the Rfam family "Bacterial small subunit ribosomal RNA", at positions 338 to 795 of the family's 1533-position model. The record is from RNAcentral.
CCUACGGGUUGCAGCAGUGGGGAAUAUUGCACAAUGGGCGCAAGCCUGAUGCAGCCAUGCCGCGUGUGUGAAGAAGGCCUUCGGGUUGUAAAGCACUUUCAGCGGGGAGGAAGGCGGUGAGGUUAAUAACCUCAUCGAUUGACAUUACCCGCAGAAGAAGCACCGGCUAACUCCGUGCCAGCAGCCGCGGUAAUACGGAGGGUGCAAGCGUUAAUCGGAAUUACUGGGCGUAAAGCGCACGCAGGCGGUCUGUCAAGUCGGAUGUGAAAUCUCCGGGCUCAACCUGGGAACUGCAUUCGAAACUGGCAGGCUAGAGUCUUGUAGAGGGGGGUGGAAUUCCAGGUGUAGCGGUGAAAUGCGUAGAGAUCUGGAGGAAUACCGGUGGCGAAGGCGGCCCCCUGGACAAAGACUGACGCUCAGGUGCGAAAGCGUGGGGAGCAAACAGGAUUAGAUACCCGAGUAGUC